UGCGUAGGUGGCCUUUUAAGUUGGAUGUGAAAUACCCGGGCUUAACCUGGGGGGUGCAUCUAAUACUGGGAGGCUAGAGUGCAGGAGAGGGAAGCGGAAUUCCUAGUGUAGCGGUGAAAUGCGUAGAUAUUAGGAGGAACACCAGUGGCGAAGGCGGCUUUCUGGACUGUAACUGACACUGAGGCACGAAAGCGUGGGGGAGCAAACA
RNAcentral lists this ribosomal RNA (208 nucleotides) under uncultured bacterium. Its description in RNAcentral is "partial 16S ribosomal RNA". It matches the Rfam family "Bacterial small subunit ribosomal RNA", at positions 568 to 774 of the family's 1533-position model. The record is from RNAcentral.